Molecule: ribosomal RNA, 460 nt
Filed under: uncultured bacterium
Lineage: Bacteria
Description: partial 16S ribosomal RNA
Rfam family: Bacterial small subunit ribosomal RNA
Source: RNAcentral
CCUACGGGAGGCAGCAGUGAGGAAUAUUGGUCAAUGGACGCAAGUCUGAACCAGCCAUGCCGCGUGCAGGAAGACGGCCCUAUGAGUUGUAAACUGCUUUUGUACGAGGGUAAACGCAGAUACGCGUAUCAGUCUGAAAGUAUCGUACGAAUAAGGAUCGGCUAACUCCGUGCCAGCAGCCGCGGUAAUACGGAGGAUUCAAGCGUUAUCCGUAUUUAGUGGGUUUAAAGGGUGCGUCGGCGGUCGGAUAAGUUAGAGGUGAAAUCCCGAGGCUCAACAUCGGAAUUGCCUCUGAUACUGUUCGGCUAGAGAGCAGUAGCGGUAGGCGGAAUGUAUGGUGUAGCGGUGAAAUGCUUAGAGAUCAUACAGAACACCGAUAGCGAAGGCAGCUUACCAGGCUACUUCUGACGUUGAGGCACGAAAGCGUGGGGAGCAAACAGGAUUAGAUACCCGGGUAGUC